UGACGCGUGUGACUGGGUUAAUCCUGUGCAUAGCUUUUUUUAACUGGUUAAACAAUUUUGCACGUUUCUCUCCUCCACCGCUUUGACCGGGCCUUCUGGGCUAUUCGAUUUACUUGGUACAUGCCACGCGUAUCUUGUCUGCCGGCCGCUUCCCACCGCGUGUCCAGUUCUCUCUCGAGAGCUCGAUUCCAGAAAUUGCUACAUCACGGGUUGCCACUAUAUAAAGGGCACGCUUUCUUGCCUAGGUUCUCAUCUUGCCGCGUCGUUGGUCCGUCUCCCAAAUUCCGGAAGCGACGGAAGUGCUUUUGGAUCGUGCGUGCCUCUCAGACGGCCGGCGUGCGUGACGUGGCGGCAGCGAGGGCGGGUCUUUCUUGUGCGCGUGCGUGUGGUGGUGCAUGUGAGGGUUGGACUGCUGAGGCUGCAGCGACCUCGAGCACGACUACGCGACGCAAGAUUUAGUGGAGAAGGAGCUAGCCGUGGUCGGGCAGGUUCGGGGUGCAGGCGCAGCCGCGCAGGUGCUCCGGAAACCACGCGCGUGAUAGAAGCAGCACCUGUCUUGCCGAGCCAGUCGCAUAAUCUUGCAGUUGCAGGGCCGAGCUGCUCCCUGUCUUUGCAUUUCCUCCAGGACUUCAGGUGGUAGAAGCACUCGUCGGAAAGAGAAAAGAAAACUGCACAACCUGAUGGCUGCGUGAGACUUUGUCUACAAGGAAGAAGACACAAAUAUAGAAGUAUACAUGAUCCAGCCGACUACCUCACACGAGUACGCGACUUGCCACCUCUUUCAUGAUUCCAAAAUCCUGGAAAACCUUGUGAUUGUGAUAGUUUGAGGACAGUGGUCAACAACCACCAAGGCGAGGCCACAAAGGAUGUGCAAAAUCACUGUCAGCUAAGCUUGUGAUGCAUGCGACUUCUAGGAAUUGGGAUUGAUCCAUUCUUUGCUUCGUCUCUCUCUACAUUUUCCUCUCUUAAUUAAUUUUGCAAAUUUUUCU
Molecule: non-coding RNA, 989 nt
Organism: Triticum urartu
Lineage: Eukaryota; Viridiplantae; Streptophyta; Magnoliopsida; Poales; Poaceae
Source: RefSeq, a predicted model, not a curated record